AAGGGCACCACAAGAACGCGUGGAGCAUGUGGCUUAAUUUGACUCAACGCGGGAAAUCUUACCGGGUCCGGACACACUAAGGAUUGACAGGUAAAAGAAGUUCACUCUCUUUAUUUUAUAUAAAGAGUUUGGCUCUGUAAAUAUGCUAGUCCUUUCAUGAUUGUGUGAUAGGUGGUGCAUGGCCGUUCUUAGUUCGUGGAAUAAUCUGUCUGCUUAAUUGCGUUAAUAUAUGGUGUCAGUCUCUGAUAACCCUCAUUCAUUGGUGUCUUUCACACUUACGUGUGCGCCUUUGAUUGGGGCUGGAGGUUUAGACACUCUAUGAAACGAACGUGACCCCGACCUCUUGUUACUUGAUAUUUAUGUCAUUUGCGGAGCAGUUUUUUCUUUUUAGUAUUUAUAUUGAAAUGUUUAAAACUGUUUACUCCCAUUAACGACUCAAGAUACGAGGGGGAUUGCCAAGCUCAAGCUGGAUGAAAGUCGGGGCAAUAACAGGUCUGUGAUGCCCUUAGAUGUUCCGGGCUGCACACGUGCUACAAUGAUCUAUGCAGUAAGUAUCUACAAAAGACUCCAUAAUCUUUUUUAUAAGACUGGAGCAAGCCUGCUUCGAGAGUAAGUAGGUAAUCAAUUCGAAGUAUAGAUUUCCUUUUUAUAGCCGAUUGUAUAUGUCUUGUCUUUUAUGACAGACUAUACUCAGCUCUUUUUCUUAGAAUUCAUAGUGGGGACAGACCUUUGUUAAUUGUUGGUCUCGUUUCAACUAGGAAUGCCUUGUAUGAGCCUUUGGUUCAACAAACCGCUCAGAAUGCGUCCCUGCCCUUUGUAC
RNAcentral lists this ribosomal RNA (820 nucleotides) under Monothalamids sp. Its description in RNAcentral is "SSU rRNA". It matches the Rfam family "Eukaryotic small subunit ribosomal RNA", at positions 1160 to 1665 of the family's 1831-position model. Lineage: Eukaryota; Foraminifera. The record is from RNAcentral.